RNAcentral lists this ribosomal RNA (301 nucleotides) under uncultured bacterium. RNAcentral describes it as "partial 16S ribosomal RNA". It matches the Rfam family "Bacterial small subunit ribosomal RNA", at positions 509 to 807 of the family's 1533-position model. The record is from RNAcentral.
CAGUAGCCGCGGGAAUACGAAGGGGGCUAGCGUUGUUUGGAUUUACUGGGCGUAAAGGGCGCGUAGGCGGACUGAUAAGUCAGGGGUGAAAUCCCAAGGCUCAACCUUGGAACUGCCUUUGAUACUGUUUGUCUUGAGUUCGAGAGAGGUAAGUGGAACUGCGAGUGUAGAGGUGAAAUUCGUAGAUAUUCGCAAGAACACCAGUGGCGAAGGCGGCUUACUGGCUCGAAACUGACGCUGAGGCGCGAAAGCGUGGGGAGCAAACAGGAUUAGAUACCCCGGUAGUCCCUGUCUCUUAUAC